RNAcentral lists this ribosomal RNA (496 nucleotides) under uncultured bacterium. RNAcentral's name for it is "partial 16S ribosomal RNA". It matches the Rfam family "Bacterial small subunit ribosomal RNA", at positions 28 to 507 of the family's 1533-position model. The record is from RNAcentral.
GAUGAACGCUGGCGGCGUGCCUAAUACAUGCAAGUCGAGCGAACGGACGAGAAGCUUGCUUCUCUGAUGUUAGCGGCGGACGGGUGAGUAACACGUGGAUAACCUACCUAUAAGACUGGGAUAACUUCGGGAAACCGUAGCUAAUACCGGAUAAUAUUUUGAACCGCAUGGUUCAAAAGUGAAAGACGGUCUUGCUGUCACUUAUAGAUGGAUCCGCGCUGCAUUAGCUAGUUGGUAAGGUAACGGCUUACCAAGGCAACGAUGCAUAGCCGACCUGAGAGGGUGUCGGCCCCACGUGGAACUGGGACCCGGCCCAGACCCCGAGGGGAGGCACGGGCAGGAAAUUUUCGGCAGGGGGCGAAAGCCUAAAGGAGCAACGCCGCGGGGGUGAGGAAGGGCUGGGGAGCGUAAACCUUUUUUAUUGGGGAAGAAAAAAUUUGUAAGUAACUGGGCCAUUCUGGCGGGUCCCAAAGCAGAAGGCCCCGGUAACUUCGUG